RNAcentral lists this ribosomal RNA (303 nucleotides) under uncultured bacterium. RNAcentral describes it as "partial 16S ribosomal RNA". It matches the Rfam family "Bacterial small subunit ribosomal RNA", at positions 507 to 808 of the family's 1533-position model. The record is from RNAcentral.
AGCAGUCGCCGCGGGAAUACGUAGGUCCCGAGCGUUGUCCGGAUUUAUUGGGCGUAAAGCGAGCGCAGGCGGUUAGAUAAGUCUGAAGUUAAAGGCUGUGGCUUAACCAUAGUACGCUUUGGAAACUGUUUAACUUGAGUGCAGAAGGGGAGAGUGGAAUUCCAUGCGUAGCGGUGAAAUGCGUAGAUAUAUGGAGGAACACCGGUGGCGAAAGCGGCUCUCUGGUCUGUAACUGACGCUGAGGCUCGAAAGCGUGGGGAGCAAACAGGAUUAGAUACCCCAGUAGUCCCUGUCUCUUAUACA